UGAUAAGAAGAGGACUUAAAC
Molecule: transfer RNA, 21 nt
Filed under: Boana albopunctata (spotted treefrog)
Lineage: Eukaryota; Metazoa; Chordata; Amphibia; Anura; Hylidae
Description: partial tRNA-Tyr
Source: RNAcentral